UGUCUGGAUUGAUUGUUCAUUUACAGAGUAUACAUAAUGUAAAUAUUGAGACAAAAUUGCUACAUUUUGAAAAUAUAGAAGGUAAACUAAUUUAUUACUACAUUGUUGGUGUUGUAUGUAUGUGCUCUGACAAUAUCGUACUUCGUAAUUUUGUUAUUUGUGUCUAAUAUUGUUUAAUUCUGCCUAGGAUAACGAUAUAAGUACCUGGAGAAAUGUUGUGUUUUUUGUUUUAUUGUGAAACUGUCGAUGACCGGAUGACUGGAUCAGUUUAUCAGUAUAAAGUAUUCAUUAUGUGAACGUUAAUUUUUUUUUACUUUAUCAUAUUUUGAAUCUGUAUGUACUAUUUACCAAGGCUGGGCAAAUUAAUGAUUUUUGUAACUGCAAUUAAUUAAAAUCAUUGAAUAUGGGGAGAAUAUCUAUUGGUCAGUUAUACAUUUUGGUUACAAUUAUAAUAUACAACUCUGACAUAAUAUAAUUUUCUUAACUUUAUAAAGAACAUUGUAGCUUGAUGUAAAAUUUACCAACCAGUAAAAUAGAUCUAAGCGUUUACAUUUUUUAUGAAGUGUUUUGUGAAGUGCCUCUAAGUACAUAUUUGUAUUAAUACUGACGUGUUUUCUACACAAGCAAGUCUGAUUCCUAUCCAUGUUUACUUGUAGCUCAAUUAUUAAUUUUAAAUAUUUGUUUUAUCUUCCUGUGUACUAAACACAAUGUUUUAUUUGUGAAUUUUUUGAAAAUUGACCUCCAAGUUUACUUGCUGACAUUGUAAAGAUUUUAAUGCAUGGAAAAGAACUAUCGAGGAAAAAGAAUUUUGUCAAUUUGUAAAAACUACUUCAAUCAAAAAAUCAACCGAUAAAGAAUAUAUGUACUUUUUUUGCCAUAGAUCAUUUAGUCAAAGAACUACUAGAAAAGGCCAUCGAUCUACAAAAAGUUGUGGUACAGUAAAAAUUGGCCAUGCAUGCCCAUCUAAUAUAAAAGUACACUUACAAAAUUCCAAACU
Long non-coding RNA from Myzus persicae (green peach aphid), 997 nucleotides. RefSeq lists it as uncharacterized. The transcript has 3 exons. NCBI's taxonomy places the organism in Eukaryota, Metazoa, Arthropoda, Insecta, Hemiptera, Aphididae. The record is from RefSeq and is a predicted model, not a curated record.